AGUGAACGCUGGCGGUAGGCCUAACACAUGCAAGUCGAACGGCAGCACAGUAAGAGCUUGCUCUUACGGGUGGCGAGUGGCGGACGGGUGAGGAAUACAUCGGAAUCUACUUUUUCGUGGGGGAUAACGUAGGGAAACUUACGCUAAUACCGCAUACGACCUACGGGUGAAAGCAGGGGAUCUUCGGACCUUGCGCGAUUGAAUGAGCCGAUGUCGGAUUAGCUAGUUGGCGGGGUAAAGGCCCACCAAGGCGACGAUCCGUAGCUGGUCUGAGAGGAUGAUCAGCCACACUGGAACUGAGCCACGGUCCAGACUCCUACGGGAGGCAGCAGUGGGGAAUAUUGGACAAUGGGCGCAAGCCUGAUCCAGCGAUACCGCGUGGGUGAAGAAGACCUUCGGGUUGUAAAGCCCUUUUGUUGGGAAAGAAAAGCAGCAGGUUAAUACCCCGCUGUUCUGACGGUACCCAAAGAAUAAGCACCGGCUAACUUCGUG
Molecule: ribosomal RNA, 492 nt
Filed under: uncultured bacterium
Lineage: Bacteria
Description: partial 16S ribosomal RNA
Rfam family: Bacterial small subunit ribosomal RNA
Source: RNAcentral